AUAUAACAUGUACGUUAUAAAUUGGAGUAUUUCAAUACACAAAUCAAUAGAAGAUUAUUACUGUAUAUAAGUAUAAUUUCAAUACAAUUCGAUCGAUAUAUUUCAGUAUCUUUGAUUAAAAAUUUAACGAUCCUUUCAGGCUGACCGCGGCGGAUCACUGCUGAUACAACAUGAAUUAACCUCGUAUUUAAUAGGUAUUGUGUCUUAUGCUUAUAAGUGCGGCACAGCUGGGUAUCCCAGCGUUUACACUAGGGUCACAUCGUACCUUGACUUCAUUCUCCAAGCGAUGCAAUAAUAUGAUAUUACUGUUCCAUAAAUAUCAUUGUGUAAAAAACGUAAAGUUGGAUUUUCUUAUUGUGGAGAUAAGAAACAGCUCAAAUUUACAUUGUUUUGUACGUUACAAAUUAUAGGCUUAAAAUGUACGAAAUGUAACUUUGAAACGACACUAAUUUUUUACGCACGAUAAACCUCCACGACUUAGAUUAUAGAUUCCUAUACGACUCUCAGUAAAAAUUUAUCCGCACUCCAGAUAGUUAAAACUUCUGUCGACCGUAUUGAUCCAUCUGCACUCUUCGUAUGACGUCAAUAUCUGUUCAGUGCUGCUGCGCAGGUUUCUUUGUGUUACGUCAAUUCGUUUGUGACCGUUGCGCGAGUAAUGGCGCUUUGCAAUGGUGAUUUGCAGGAAAACAGUGCAGGAUGCUGUGAUUCGUUUCUUGUGGUCGGAGGUUAUGUUUGAUGCCUAUAUUUAUCAAAGAUUUAAUGCACAUUAUGGAGAAAGUGUUUUGUCACGAAGUGUGUUUGAAUGGGCACAAAAGUUCAAAGAAGAUCGCACGAGUGUUAUGAAAAAACAGCUGGACGCCCGUCCACAUCCACGAUGACAACAUUGAACGUGCUCAUGAACUUAUGCUCUAUGGAAUAGACGAGUGACACUGGAUAAUGUGGCAAAUCAUUUGCAAAUCAGCCACGGCUCUGCUUAUGCAAUAGUGCACGACAGAUUUGGAUUUUAAAAAGUUUGUGCGAGAUGGAUGCCGAAAAAGCUGAUGAAAAGGUGAAGACGACGAUGCAUUCGUGGUUCGCAGCUCAGCCCAAAACAUUUUUUAAUGAGAAAAUAUAAAGGUCCUUCGGCAAAUGGACAAAGUGUAUACAGAAAUCGAGUGAUUAUGUCAAAAAAUGAUGUAUGUCUUUUUUGACAAUUGCUUAAAAUAAAUUCUACACCGACAGAGCGGGCUGUUAAUCUAGAGGCUGGAGUACAAAGAAGUGGCACAAUGAUGUGGGCUGAUGACAUUUAUAAUUAUCAAGGAAUCACCCCUACAUUCGCUCAGAAUUUUAAUGAAACUGUCCCUUGGGAAGGAAGAACUGAUACCUUGAUAUCACGGUUUGUACAUCCUAUAUAUACGACAAAUUUUAGAACAUUAUAUAACGAAGAACCAGAUCGUCGUGGCCAUGUGAUGUGAAUAAAAGGACUUGAAUUUGAUGAUAUUUUUAUAAUGUUAGAUAACAUAACUAAGUAUCUUCACAGUAAGAUAGGAUGACAUGGUUUACAUGAUCUUAAUGUUGUUCACUCGAGUGAUGAUAUUAUAAG
This is a long non-coding RNA of Bombus huntii, 1582 nucleotides long. RefSeq lists it as uncharacterized. The record is from RefSeq and is a predicted model, not a curated record. The transcript is spliced from 4 exons. NCBI's taxonomy places the organism in Eukaryota, Metazoa, Arthropoda, Insecta, Hymenoptera, Apidae.